Molecule: non-coding RNA, 3685 nt
Organism: Triticum urartu
Lineage: Eukaryota; Viridiplantae; Streptophyta; Magnoliopsida; Poales; Poaceae
Source: RefSeq, a predicted model, not a curated record
AGACCUAGCCGCCUCCUCCUCUCUCCCUCCCUCCCGCAGCCGCCUCUCCUCCCGCGCGCCUCCUGUCCUCCCACCCACAUCGCCGCCGCCGCCGCCCACCUCCUCAAACCGCGCCGUCGGCGGCCAGCUCCGCCGCAACAAAGCCCCCCCAACGACGAUGAGCAGCAGCGGAGGGAGGACGAGGAGCCCGACGGUGGCGGCAGCGGGGAGGAGCAGCAGCAGGGCAAGGCGGCGCAGCAGCAGGCCAUGGGCGAGAUUCCUCCCCCCACCCGUCCCGCGCCUCCUCUCCUCCGACCACGCUGCCGUGCUGCGCGACGGCGAGUGGGCGCCCGCCCUCCCCGUCCACGAGCUCGUCCCCGGGCACGUCGGCGGCUCCCAAGCCCUCCUGCUCCGACCCCGCAGAGUGCUCGAGUCAUGGAGGGGCACCAGACGGUGGUGGGCGCUUGCGCCGCUGCUCCCCAUCGAGCUCGCGCGUGCGGCACAUCUGAUGGCCAACACAGCCGUCGUCGUCGCCUUCACAAUGUCACAAUGGUGAUUGUACAACUCUGCUGCCUCCAGCUCCAGCGCCCAUCUCCACUACGGUUCAUGGCUUACUUGACGAGGUCAACAGCUAAUAGAGGUGCAUCACCUCGUGCUAAAUCGUUGUUGGAGAAGUUCUCUCUUGUUGUUUCUGUUCAUCACAUUUAAUGCUUGAAGCUUGCUAAACUAGGUGGACUUUAUUUAUGUCCAGCACAAGACUUCUGCAAAGAUCAAUGCACAUCUUGAUCUAGAAUAAAGAGUAUCCAAUGGGCUCACUGACACGGAUAAUGUCGACAACAAGUGGUGUCAGCUAUGGCCUGGAGAGAGAUGUUUAGACACCCUAAGAUGGCAUGUGUCGCUGAGGAGACAUGAUCUCCGAGCAGCCCUCCUCAUAGCUCGCAGUCCAGGUCGAUGCCAAAUUCAAUUUCUAGGAGGGUUUUUGUGCUGUGGCUGCGGGUUCGUGCUAUCGGGGGAAAAUAUCUUUGGUUUGUUUCUUAUAUUGGUGAUGUGGGUGAGUUGAUUUCUGCCUGAUUUGUUCCUUUCCAUCUUGAUCUGUGUAGCGUUAAGCAUUUGAAUGGAGCAUGUAUAGGCAUGCCCCGGUUCAUCCUAGGUGAGUGUGGAUCUGUAGCUUCCUUAUGUUUGAUAGUCCACAAUAUGAAUCUUUUAGGUUAUCACUGAGGUUCAGUAAACCACGUCGGUUGACCUGUGUAUAAGUCAUUCGGCAGUCCACAAUAUGAAUCUUUUAAAUUAUAACUGGGUUUCAAUACACCAUGUUGAUUAACCUCUGUCCAAGGCGAUCACGAGAAUGGUUUGCAAAAUGCAGUAGGUAAGGAAUUUAUUUAUUUUAGUUCCUGAAUAGAUUACCUCGCCGCCUCCGCCAUCUGUGCUCGCCUUCGCGUCGUCUCCUUUAACCCUGUAGCAUCUUGUGGCUUUAUCAAAGUCAGGCCAUUAAUUGGGUUUUUAACAAAACAGAUUCCAUUUGACCUACAAAUAUAUCUGCAGUGACGUACUAUUAUUAGCAGUCAUCUAGAUACUCUACAGUUCCAGUGAUAGAUGAACUGGUCUAUCAAAUAUGCAUUGCUUUUUGUAUUGCCUAGCCCUGCUUCGAUUACAUUGUUCUGUUAUACUAGAUGUCUAUUCGCCUGUUGUGAUAGCAUAUCUGAUUAUUUAUAUUGUUUGACAUGUAUUCCGUGCAAGUCGCUUGGUUGUUUGAUGCGUUCGUGCUCGUCGGCGGGACGGUGCAAGGCGCAACUCCGACGCGGUUCCUCGCCGGUUGGACGGCGUUCAGGGUCACACAUACACAUGAUUUUUUAUUUGCUAUUUGAAACUGCAGUUUGAGACCGAAUCUCUUUUGCUAUUUGAAACUGCAGUUUUUUAAGGGCCACACAUACACAUGAUUGUGACUGGCCAAUUUUGUGUGUCCUUUUCAUGCCCAGAGUAUUGCAGGUUGCACUGCUCACUUGAACCAGCAUUACCUUCGAAACCGAAUCGAGUUAACAGUAGAUCCAAAAUGUUUUUUUUGUCAUUGGUUUGUCAAAAUGGUGUUUGUUCACACACUGUCGGAUGCUUAGUUCAGUUAAAACAAUAAUGUUGUAUGAGUAUAAGUAAUAAUACUAAUGCGCUUUCACUCAUGCUACGACCCCAGUAACAACUCUCUGAGAUGGUUGUGCUCAAAUUUAUAGUUCCUGGUUAAUGUUUUUUUAUCUUUUUACUUUCUGUUGGUUUGUUUCUUUCAGUUUGUAAGUGGUCUUGGAAUCCUGUUCACUGUUGGAAACUGUUGGACCUUGCUGUUGUUGAUUGGUUCAUAAGGUCAUUAGAGUUACCAAUCUGUCUUGAUUCUGUAAGAUUCAUGGAUCGAUUUGAGCUGGCGAGCCACUUGCACUUCUUGAAGCUACUAACAAACCAGCAAAGGUGCACAUCCCUGCAAACCAGAUUGAUCUUAAGACACUGGCUGAGCCCUGUGCAUUGAGAGCGUACCCGUUUUGCUUGAAGGUUUCAGAUGCACUGUCGUCAUAAAAUAUGGUCCCCGGGGAGUCAUGGAGGUUUGUUUCCUGCAAUAGACGUGGCAAAAAAUCUCUGCCACAUGGAGAUGGUUGCUGCUGCACUGCAUGUGGAUACAGAGGAAAGAAGUUCAGGCAAAAUUCCAUUAGGCUUUGCUCUACUCUUAGUUACCAUGAGAUUUCAUCAAUCGCUCUACAUGGUGUCGUGCUUACUCUCGACAUGCAAUGGAUUCAAGCGUGCGUAGGGAGCUUUUCUCAACCACAUAGCGACAAAUGCACGAGCCUUACGGUCUAUGGUGUCACCGGCAUGCAAGUUGCUAAUCUCCAUUGGAUCGCUGCGUGGGGUCGCACAUAGUGGUUGUGGCAAGUGGCAUUGACAGGGUGAAUUUUGUUGUUAUUUACGUCUAUUCAUCCAAAGGAAGUAGAUGAUUGAUAGAGAUUCAGAGGGAGCAAUUGAUAUAGAUAGUUGUUGUGGUUCCUAUUUCUUCAGAUUAUGUUUCUAUUGCUAUUGUGGCCUGAGGUCCAUCCCCCGUCGCCCCUCCUCUCAAGCCGCUACGGUGGCCUAUAUGUUUUAGUGGGUUCCGUCACGCCGGGCUGCCCCAGGCCCUGACCCAGGGUUUGGUGGGCGAGCUCACUACCAUCCUCCCGGUGGUCUUCUUCCUCGCUUGAUUCUUGGGCACCCCAUCUAUUCUGGACGAGCACCUUCCAUUGGUGGGUGAGGAGAUCUGGCAUGAACCACGUGCUGAGAGGAUCUCCACUUCUGCUACCUCUGCAUGCCCUUGGCCUAAUCUCACCAAACUUUGCUACACUUCACAUCAUCAGGGAAGGAGGAUGCGUCCAUCGCAAUAUCAAGCAAAUCAGAUGACAAGGUGUUUGGAGCAAGCUACUCAUAGCCAACUACAUAGUUUAGUACAAUGCUGUAUUAAAGCAGUGUAAAUAAAUAACUUGUAUGGCCUGCUUUUGGUAUAUAGUACGGAACCUUGAUCUUUAGGUAUUUCAUGCUACAAUUGUUAAUAAAUGCACCGAUGGUCUGUAACGAGAUUUGAUGUUUUGAAUUGGACCAUUACUGUUGUAAGUAAAUAUUAUCUUAUGCUUUUUGAGUAAUACUACUAGGUGUUGGAUUGUUAGACUCAAUAAAUAUAUACCAUAUGUUGGAUCGUUAAAAA